UUUAUAUUUUUUUUUAUAUGUUAUAUUUUGAAUUUUUCAAAACGUCUAUAAAUUAUUAGAAAUUUGAAGAUUCCCACUCUGAAAAUUUUGUGAUCAAUAGAUUAUUAGAAAUGUUUAUCCCGCGCCUUGCGCGGGUCUUAUCCUAGUAAUAAAUUAAAGAGAGAAUUUGUUUGGCAAUAGAGUGAGCUCUAACAUUGACCAUUCUAAAGAUAAAUCUAAACUGGAUGUUAGUAAAAAAAAGGAGUAAGUAGGUGAAUGUGGUUGAGAAAUCAGCAAUCUCUAAAUGUCUUGCAUGUGAUCUCACUAAGUUUCUGAGAACUUGAGAAUCAUAGAGAAUCUAGGAAGAUUUAAUCUCACGACUGAGAACAGAGAAAAUAGUUUUUCGCAUUGUUAAAUUUCUGCAACAUUUUUGACAUCCAAAGUUCAUCUCCGGUAGGGUUAAGGAGACGAUUACCUAUGAUUGGACAGCUGGAGGCGGUCCAUCCGAUCCAGGUCGGGAGAAGAACCAAGCGGGUUGAUGAGCAAGAAGUAGUAUUAUCCAACGGUUACACCCGUAACUGGUAAAAAAUUGAAAAGAGGAGCGAAAUGUUUAGUGGUAAUAAGCCAGAAGAUGAAUAAACCGAGUGGCAAUGCAAAAUCGUGUGUGCUCAGACCAAAGGAUAAGAAACAGUCUCGAUUAUUGUGACUGGGAGGGAACAAUCAUUGCCAAAAAAGGGAGAAUCAUACUUUUUACGUUGCUUGAUCAGCGCAAAAUUAUUUUUAACAAAAUUUUAUUAAAGAAAUAAUAUAUAUAUAUAUAUAUAUAUAUAUAUAUAUAUAUUAUUUAUAUUAAUAUGAACUUAUAUAAGAUAUUAAUUAAUUUUAUUUUCAGACAUUUUAAUAUUUUUGUUAUGAAUUUUUAAUUAAAUUUCUGUAAUUUAUUUGAUUAAUUGUGUGACAUAUAUUUUUGAUAAAUUUUGAAUUACAAAACUUAUUUGAUGUCAACUUAUUGACUCUAACAUUUCAUUUCUAUAUAAUAUUCAAUUUAAUAUGAAAGCUUAUUUAAGUUUAAAUGAUGUAAUUUUCUAUUUAAGUUUAAAUGAAUGUAAUAAAUAAUGCUUAAAACAUUUAAAAUUUGAAAAAAUUUCAAUAAUAUUGUAUAUAAUAAUAAAUAUCAUGGGUUGUUAAAUAAUACCCAUUUUAAGAGGUUUGUUACUAAUCUAUAGAUAAAUGAAAAAUAAAAAUGAAAUUUUAUUAAAAUGUAGUUAUAAACCAUACUAGUCUAAGAUUUAAAUAACGCAUAAAUGCAUAAACUUUUGAUGAUCUAUAUGAGAAAAAUGGUCGGCUGUCAUGGAUAUACUUCGAAAAUCCUAUUAACAAGUUCGGAGAAGAUGAAGAAUAAAUUAUGAAGCUUUUCAUAAAAGAAAAAACAAAAUUCAACAUUUCAUAGAGCCGGUAUUGUGAUAUCUAUACUAUUCAAGCAGAAUCCUUCUUAGGAUUAUGCCCCUGACCUUUUAAAAAUAUUAUAAAACAUACCAUUACUUUUUUAAUAUCUUUAAUGAUCUACAAAAAUUUAAAGCCCAUUCGAUAGGUCCAAACUGAACCAUUGUUAAUCCAUUAGGCCAUUUUGUUUAAAAUAUAUUUAGUGAAAAUCAUUAAAAAGAUUGUUUUAUUUUUUAUACAGAGAUCAAUACCAUUAAAAGAUGAUCAUUCACUUAAUGAAAAUUACAGUUUCUCAAAAAUACCCUUAUUUUUACAAAGGAUGAAUAAAAUUCAUUAAUGGCAUUUAAGUCUUUUGGUUUUGGGCCUACAUGUACACCUAAAUAGAUCUAUAAAUAAUGGGCCUAUAUAUAUUUAAAAGAUAUACUAACUUUAAAUAUAAUAUAUGUAUAAAUAUAUUACAAACUAUAAAUAAAUUAGCAAAUAUGAAAAUAUCAUUUUCUUAAAUAUACAUAUCAAUAUUU
Brassica rapa (field mustard) is the source of this 1943-nucleotide long non-coding RNA. RefSeq lists it as uncharacterized. The record is from RefSeq and is a predicted model, not a curated record. Lineage: Eukaryota; Viridiplantae; Streptophyta; Magnoliopsida; Brassicales; Brassicaceae.